UGGCGAACGGGUGAGUAACGCGUGAGGAACCUGCCUCAAAGAGGGGGACAACAGUUGGAAACGACUGCUAAUACCGCAUAAGCCCACGGGUCGGCAUCGACCUGAGGGAAAAGGAGCAAUCCACUUUGAGAUGGCCUCGCGUCCGAUUAGCUAGUUGGUGAGGUAACGGCCCACCAAGGCGACGAUCGGUAGCCGGACUGAGAGGUUGACCGGCCACAUUGGGACUGAGACACGGCCCAG
Molecule: ribosomal RNA, 240 nt
Filed under: uncultured bacterium
Lineage: Bacteria
Description: partial 16S ribosomal RNA
Rfam family: Bacterial small subunit ribosomal RNA
Source: RNAcentral